GAAUUCGCCCUUAGAGUUUGAUCCUGGCUCAGGACGAACGCUGGCGGCGCGCCUAACACAUGCAAGUCGAACGAGCGAGAGAGAGCUUGCUUUCUCGAGCGAGUGGCGAACGGGUGAGUAACGCGUGAGGAACCUGCCUCAAAGAGGGGGACAACAGUUGGAAACGACUGCUAAUACCGCAUAAGCCCACGGCUCGGCAUCGAGCAGAGGGAAAAGGAGCAAUCCGCUUUGAGAUGGCCCCGCGUCCGAUUAGCUAGUUGGUGAGGUAAUGGCCCACCAAGGCGACGAUCGGUAGCCGGACUGAGAGGUUGAACGGCCACAUUGGGACUGAGACACGGCCCAGACUCCUACGGGAGGCAGCAGUGGGGAAUAUUGCACAAUGGGGGAAACCCUGAUGCAGCGACGCCGCGUGGAGGAAGAAGGUCUUCGGAUUGUAAACUCCUGUUGUUGGGGAAGAUAAUGACGGUACCCAACAAGGAAGUGACGGCUAACUACGUGCCAGCAGCCGCGGUAAAACGUAGGUCACAAGCGUUGUCCGGAAUUACUGGGUGUAAAGGGAGCGCAGGCGGGAAGACAAGUUGGAAGUGAAAUCUAUGGGCUCAACCCAUAAACUGCUUUCAAAACUGUUUUUCUUGAGUAGUGCAGAGGUAGGCGGAAUUCCCGGUGUAGCGGUGGAAUGCGUAGAUAUCGGGAGGAACACCAGUGGCGAAGGCGGCCUACUGGGCACCAACUGACGCUGAGGCUCGAAAGUGUGGGUAGCAAACAGGAUUAGAUACCCUGGUAGUCCACACCGUAAACGAUGAUUACUAGGUGUUGGAGGAUUGACCCCUUCAGUGCCGCAGUUAACACAAUAAGUAAUCCACCUGGGGAGUACGACCGCAAGGUUGAAACUCAAAGGAAUUGACGGGGGCCCGCACAAGCAGUGGAGUAUGUGGUUUAAUUCGACGCAACGCGAAGAACCUUACCAAGUCUUGACAUCCCUUGACGAUGCUGGAAACAGUAUUUCUCUUCGGAGCAAGGAGACAGGUGGUGCAUGGUUGUCGUCAGCUCGUGUCGUGAGAUGUUGGGUUAAGUCCCGCAACGAGCGCAACCCUUAUGGUCAGUUACUACGCAAGAGGACUCUGGCCAGACUGCCGUUGACAAAACGGAGGAAGGUGGGGAUGACGUCAAAUCAUCAUGCCCUUUAUGACUUGGGCUACACACGUACUACAAUGGCGUUAAACAAAGAGAAGCAAGACCGCGAGGUGGAGCAAAACUCAGAAACAACGUCCCAGUUCGGACUGCAGGCUGCAACUCGCCUGCACGAAGUCGGAAUUGCUAGUAAUCGUGGAUCAGCAUGCCACGGUGAAUACGUUCCCGGGCCUUGCACUCACCGCCCGUCA
RNAcentral lists this ribosomal RNA (1382 nucleotides) under uncultured bacterium. Its description in RNAcentral is "bacterial SSU rRNA". It matches the Rfam family "Bacterial small subunit ribosomal RNA". The record is from RNAcentral.